AUGAUACAAUCGAUCGAGAACAGCUAUGACAGAUUAUGCACGAAUACGGAUUCCCGGAUAAACUGAUACGGUUGAUCAAGGCGACGAUGGAUCGAGUGAUGUGCAUAGUUCGAGUAUCAGGGACACUCUCGAGUCCCUUCGAAUCUCGUAGAGGGUUACGGCAAGGUGAUGGUCUUUCGUGCUUGCUGUUCAACAUUGCGUUAGAGGGUGUAAUAAGGAGAGCGGGGAUUAACACGAGUGGUACGAUUUUCACGAAGUCUGUUCAGCUGCUUGGUUUCGCUGAUGAUAUUGAUAUUAUUGCUAGUAAAUUUGAGACGAUGGCGGAAACGUACAUCCGACUAAAGAGUUAAGCCAGGCGAAUCGGAUUAGUCAUUAAUGUGUCGAAGACAAAAUACAUGAUGGCAAAGGGCCCCAGGGAGGAAUCAGCGCGCCCGCUACCCCGAAUUUAUAUCGACGGUGAUGAAAUCGAGGCGGUUGAAGAAUUCGUGUACUUGGGCUCACUGGUGACCGCCGACAAUGACACCAGCAGAGAAAUUCAGAGGCGCAUUGUGGCAGGAAAUCGUGCUUACUUUGGACUCCGCAAAACUCUACGAUCGAAUAAAGUUCGCCGUAACACGAAGUUAACUAUCUACAAAACGUGAUUAGACCGGUCGUCCUCUAUGGGCAUGAAACAUGGACCCUACGUGCAGAGGACCAACGCGCCCUUGGAGUUUUCGAACGGAAGGUGUUGCGUACCAUCACGGCGGAGUGCAGAUGGAAGACGGGACUUGGAGAAGGCGAAUGAACCACGAGCUGCAUCAGCUGCUAAGAGAAGCAACCAUCGUCCAUACCGCGAAAAUCGGGAGACUACGGUGGGCGGGUCACGUCAUCAGGAUGUCGGAUAGCAACCCGACUAAAAUGGUUCUCGAGAGUCAUCCGACCGGUACAAGAAGACGUGGAGUGCAGCGAGCUAGGUGGGUCGACCAAGUAGAGGACGAUCUGCGGACCCUACGCAGAGUGCGGAACUGGAGACAAACAUCCAUGGACCGAGUGGAAUGGAGACGGCUACUAUGUACAGCAGAGGCCACCCCGGCCUUAGCCUGAUUGGUAAGGUAAGUAAAGUAAGCCUUGUAACUUUGCAUACAAACUUUAGAGGCACAAAUAUGACGAACGAAUCAUCUAACCAAGCCGCACUUGUUUAUCCUGGCUU
Long non-coding RNA from Aedes albopictus (Asian tiger mosquito), 1189 nucleotides. RefSeq lists it as uncharacterized. Lineage: Eukaryota; Metazoa; Arthropoda; Insecta; Diptera; Culicidae. The transcript is spliced from 2 exons. The record is from RefSeq and is a predicted model, not a curated record.